Ruditapes philippinarum (Manila clam) is the source of this 1470-nucleotide long non-coding RNA. RefSeq lists it as uncharacterized. The record is from RefSeq and is a predicted model, not a curated record. The transcript is spliced from 3 exons. NCBI's taxonomy places the organism in Eukaryota, Metazoa, Mollusca, Bivalvia, Venerida, Veneridae.
CUGGUACAGCUGUUGGAAACACAGGGGAAAGUGUUGGUACAUCAGUUACCCGGACAACGCCAUCAACAUAUCAAACUUUGAGUACAACAGGGAUGAUGAACGGUGCUACAGCUGUUGAAGUGCUAGAUCCUUUAGCAUUAGUGGUAUGCCUGUUGGCUUGCGGUAUCUCCUAAACGUUUACGUUGAUGAAAAAGGAAACAACGUUCGAUGUCUUUACAUAGCUUUAAUUUUGUCAAUAUAUCCAUGUAUAUUUCAGUGCAUUCGUGUGUAUUUGUAUUUGAUAUAGUCUAUAAAGUAACAAAAAAUAUUCUCAUAGCAUAUAAAAUGAGUAGAACAAACUGAUUCAAAAGUCCAUCGUCGUGAAAAUAUAUUUCAUUCUUUUUACAAGCAUCAAUUGGAAUAAUUGUAUACCGAAAUUGAUAACAAUGUCAAAGAUUAGACCAAAAGAAAGGUUUGAUUGCAAAGGAUACAUCAAGGUUAAGCAAAUCUGUUCUCAAUUGAAAAAAGAGUGUCACCGAAAAUGUUUAACUGGUUUUGAACAUUGAGGGAUAUAAAGUUUAACUUUGAUCUUCAUUUAGAGAUUCAAAGUAUAGAUCUUAUUUAGGUGUUCACAUUUGAUGAAAAGAAGAUCUUUUCCUCGGCUCUUAGUGAGCUUAUGAUCUUGGAAGGGUUACUAAAAUUACAUUGUAACUAAUAACAACAUAUAAUGUAUUGGUUCAUUCAAUUCUAUUGUGGAGUUCUUUUCAUUUGAUAAGAACCAAUGCAUACCAGUUGACAUUGCAAUAUUCAAGAAGAAGGAGAGUGUUCUAGAAUCCGCAAUUCGACAUCACCAUAACCUAAUCCAUGGCUUGUUUAUAUCAAGCGUAUCAUCAUUAUCGAGACAAAAGCAGUUAUUGAAAAAAAUGUAUGAUAUAAACCUUCAAACAAAUCUAGAAUUUCUUUAAAACUAUGAACACCCUAUUAAGUGACAACGCUGUAUCCAAUACGAUUGUAGAAAAGAAUAUGCAAAAAGUAAAAACAUAAAACAACUUCACACUGAUCUGCCAUACAUUUGCAUCUUCCAAGAAAAAAAUAACAAAGUAUUAAAGAAAAUACCGGAAAGCUAAUUUACUACAACAAUUGCAUUCACUGUAAUACCCCGGUCACAUAUUCAAGGAAUACGCCCACGGAAGAGCCACGGAUUAAUUCCGGCAUCGUCCGUAGCUACCCGUACUGGUCAGUAGCUCUCCGUAUUGUAACCGUAAUCAAUCGUAGUAGUCCUGGUAUAUCCGUAGCGAUCCUUGACAAUUUUUGAACAUGCACAAAAAUUUGCUACGGAAAAAUCAACCGUAGCGUAUCCCUGCUAGUCCGUAUUGAAACGUACCGAUACUUACUGGUCCGUACGAAAACCGUACUAGUCCGUACUGAUUCGUAGCCCACCAACUUGUCAAGGAUUUCGACGGUUUGGUACGGAUAACCUACGUUUAAGCU